UGGGGAAUUUUGGACAAUGGGGGAAACCCUGAUCCAGCCAUCCCGCGUGUGCGAUGAAGGCCUUCGGGUUGUAAAGCACUUUUGGCAGGAAAGAAACGUCAUGGGUUAAUACCCCGUGAAACUGACGGUACCUGCAGAAUAAGCACCGGCUAACUACGUGCCAGCAGCCGCGGUAAUACGUAGGGUGCAAGCGUUAAUCGGAAUUACUGGGCGUAAAGCGUGCGCAGGCGGUUCGGAAAGAAAGAUGUGAAAUCCCAGAGCUCAACUUUGGAUCUGCAUUUUUAACUACCGGGCUAGAGUGUGUCAGAGGGGGGUGGAAUUCCGCGUGUAGCAGUGAAAUGCGUAGAUAUGCGGAGGAACACCGAUGGCGAAGGCAGCCUCCUGGGAUAACAAUGACGCUCAUGCACGAAAGCGUGGGGAGCAAACAGG
This 429-nucleotide ribosomal RNA is filed under the name Acidobacteriota bacterium. RNAcentral describes it as "Acidobacteria bacterium partial 16S ribosomal RNA". It matches the Rfam family "Bacterial small subunit ribosomal RNA", at positions 355 to 776 of the family's 1533-position model. The record is from RNAcentral. Lineage: Bacteria; Pseudomonadati; Acidobacteriota.